Molecule: ribosomal RNA, 478 nt
Filed under: uncultured bacterium
Lineage: Bacteria
Description: partial 16S ribosomal RNA
Rfam family: Bacterial small subunit ribosomal RNA
Source: RNAcentral
GAUGAACGCUGACAGAAUGCUUAACACAUGCAAGUCGAACGGUAAGGCCCUUCGGGGUACACGAGUGGCGAGCGGGUGAGUAACACGUGGGUGAUCUGCCCUGCACUUCGGGAUAAGCCUGGGAAACUGGGUCUAAUACCGGAUAGGACCACUGCCUGCAUGGGUGGUGGUGGAAAGCUUUUGCGGUGUGGGAUGGGCCCGCGGCCUAUCAGCUUGUUGGUGGGGUGAUGGCCUACCAAGGCGACGACGGGUAGCCGGCCUGAGAGGGUGACCGGCCACACUGGGACUGAGAUACGGCCCAGACUCCUACGGGAGGCAGCAGUGGGGAAUAUUGCACAAUGGGCGCAAGCCUGAUGCAGCGACGCCGCGUGAGGGAUGACGGCCUUCGGGUUGUAAACCUCUUUCAGCACCGACGAAGCGCAAGUGACGGUAGGUGCAGAAGAAGGACCGGCCAACUACGUGCCAGCCGCCGCUGUAA